This 508-nucleotide ribosomal RNA is filed under the name Glomus sp. Glo3. RNAcentral's name for it is "SSU rRNA". It matches the Rfam family "Eukaryotic small subunit ribosomal RNA", at positions 569 to 1078 of the family's 1831-position model. The record is from RNAcentral. Lineage: Eukaryota; Fungi; Glomeromycota; Glomeromycetes; Glomerales; Glomeraceae.
AGCAGCCGCGGUAAUUCCAGCUCCAAUAGCGUAUAUUAAAGUUGUUGCAGUUAAAAAGCUCGUAGUUGAAUUUCGGGGUCAGUAGGUCAGUCGUGCCACUGGUAUGAACUGGUUUUACUGAUUCCUCCCUCUUGAAGAACUGUAAUGCCAUUAAUUUGGUGUUGCAGGGAAUCAGGACUGUUACUUUGAAAAAAUUAGAGUGUUUAAAGCAGGCUUUAGCUUGAAUACAUUAGCAUGGAAUAAUGAAAUAGGACGUUUGAUCCUAUUUUGUUGGUUUCUAGGAUUGACGUAAUGAUUAAUAGGGAUAGUUGGGGGCAUUAGUAUUCAAUUGUCAGAGGUGAAAUUCUUGAAUUUAUUGAAGACUAACUACUGCGAAAGCAUUUGCCAAGGAUGUUUUCAUUAAUCAGGAACGAAAGUUAGGGGAUCGAAGACGAUCAGAUACCGUCGUAGUCUUAACCAUAAACUAUGCCGACUAGGGAUCGGAUGAUGUUAAUUUUUUAAUGACUCA